This 460-nucleotide ribosomal RNA is filed under the name uncultured bacterium. RNAcentral's name for it is "partial 16S ribosomal RNA". It matches the Rfam family "Bacterial small subunit ribosomal RNA", at positions 338 to 795 of the family's 1533-position model. The record is from RNAcentral.
CCUACGUGAGGCAGCAGUGAGGAAUAUUGGUCAAUGGACGGAAGUCUGAACCAGCCAUGCCGCGUGCAGGAAGACGGCUCUAUGAGUUGUAAACUGCUUUUGUACAAGGGUAAACCUGAAUACGUGUAUUCUGCUGAAAGUACUGUACGAAUAAGGAUCGGCUAACUCCGUGCCAGCAGCCGCGGUAAUACGGAGGAUCGAAGCGUUAUCCGGAUUUAUUGGGUUUAAAGGGUGCGUAGGCGGAUUGAUCAGUUAGAGGUGAAAUGUCCGAGCUUAACUCGGGAACUGCCUCUAAUACUGUUGAUCUAGAGAGUAGAUGCGGUAGGCGGAAUGUAUGGUGUAGCGGUGAAAUGCUUAGAGAUCAUACAGAACACCGAUUGCGAAGGCAGCUUACCAAUCUAUAUCUGACGUUGAGGCACAAAAGCGUGGGGAGCAAACAGGAUUAGAUACCCGGGUAGUC